RNAcentral lists this ribosomal RNA (484 nucleotides) under uncultured bacterium. Its description in RNAcentral is "partial 16S ribosomal RNA". It matches the Rfam family "Bacterial small subunit ribosomal RNA", at positions 30 to 507 of the family's 1533-position model. The record is from RNAcentral.
AUUGAACGCUGGCGGCAGGCCUAACACAUGCAAGUCGAGCGGAUGAAGGGAGCUUGCUCCUGGAUUCAGCGGCGGACGGGUGAGUAAUGCCUAGGAAUCUGCCUGGUAGUGGGGGAUAACGUCCGGAAACGGGCGCUAAUACCGCAUACGUCCUGAGUGAGAAAGUGGGGGAUCUUCGGACCUCACGCUAUCAGAUGAGCCUAGGUCGGAUUAGCUAGUUGGUGGGGUAAAGGCCUACCAAGGCGACGAUCCGUAACUGGUCUGAGAGGAUGAUCAGUCACACUGGAACUGAGACACGGUCCAGACUCCUACGGGAGGCAGCAGUGGGGAAUAUUGGACAAUGGGCGCAAGCCUGAUCCAGCCAUGCCGCGUGUGUGAAGAAGGUCUUCGGAUUGUAAAGCACUUUAAGUUGGGAGGAAGGGCAGUAAGUUAAUACCUUGCUGUUUUGACGUUACCAACAGAAUAAGCACCGGCUAACUUCGUG